Molecule: long non-coding RNA, 349 nt
Filed under: Gossypium barbadense (sea-island cotton)
Lineage: Eukaryota; Viridiplantae; Streptophyta; Magnoliopsida; Malvales; Malvaceae
Description: long non-coding RNA (GBAR_LNC001321)
Source: RNAcentral
UCAUGCUCAAUGAUUCGCACACAACCGUUCAAAUUAGCAAUUAUAAGAUGAUUCCGCACAUAGUCCACCCUUAUCGAUAAUUUACGAUGGUUUUGCCCUUACUCACAUAAAUGACAUAGGCAUUUUCACCUAUGCUUCUCAUUUCACAUUCAUGAUUCAAUUCCAAUCGAUCUAACAUGCAUAAGAAUAUAUCACAUACCUGGCCAACUUAAUGCAUUGAACAAAUUCAAUUGUCGAUUUAACACAAGGUCUCAUAGUCUUAGACUUUUAUCAAAUCACCGGCAUUUAGCCUGCUAGGUUUUAAACCCGAUAAUAUUAUUCACCAGCUUAAAGCUUGCUAGGCUCAAAG